Molecule: long non-coding RNA, 1788 nt
Organism: Lates calcarifer (barramundi perch)
Lineage: Eukaryota; Metazoa; Chordata; Actinopteri; Centropomidae
Exons: 2
Source: RefSeq, a predicted model, not a curated record
UUGGCCUUUAUUAGGCAUGACGGUGAAGAAAGACAAGAAAUAGAGAGAGAGCAGAGGAAAGAUAUGCAGCAAGGGUCUGGCUGGAUCAGGAGUCAAACUGGGGUCUCACCAUUCAGGAAAAGUCAGAGGAUCACCAAAGUCAUCAGGAUACAUACUCUUGGGACCAUGAAUGACAAAAUUUUGGCUGAAGCCAUCCAGCAAUUGUUGAGAUAUCUCAGUCUGGACGUGGUGGACUGAACAACCAGCAGAAAAACUGAAAGACAUCGCCAUCCCUAGAGCCAUCCCGCUAACCACAAGUAAUAAACAAGGAAAAGUCACAUUGUUCCUGGAAAAAAAGAGGAACCAUUAUCACUGCGAAUCUAAAGACAAGUUGCUAAAACAAGUGGUUGCCUCAGGGUGGGCGGUGAGCACAAAAUCUAACAUCUCUACUUUGUCAUACUGAAAAUAAUAUCAGAAUUUGCUUUUUUACUUAGUUGAUGUGUUGUGUGAUCCAAUCAUCUGCAGUAAUAUGUCAUUUUAUCCCACACACACAAAAAAAAAAACAGAUAUGUAUAAUGAGUCAUGCUGCCAUUUGUCCUACAUGGUAUUAUUUCACUGUACUUCUGAAUCACAAAGAAAAAUUACAAUGAAAGAUUAUAAUGUAUGAUGAAUAGAGGAAUCUGACAUACAGUUGAUGCUUGCAUCAAAAUAGUAGACCACCAGACAAACAAAUAAAUGUUUAAGACACUCACACAGAGAUUAAACUGAGCAUAUUCCUUAUUUUAAUGGCUACGAAUGUUUCAAACUGCUGUGUGGUUCAGCCUCCUGAGGUCACUGAGGCAGGUGGUGGACAGUAUGUAGCAAUGAGAAAACAAAGCAAAGUAGCAAGGUCUCUGCUUAUUUUGUUCACACUGUCUGCUAUUAAAAGAAGAGGGUCACAAACUUUGUUACUUAUGUCACCAUGAAAUGAUGCAAUUUUGAGUCCAACCCUAACUCAGUACGAAUCUGCAGCAACAGCAGUCCACUGUGUCAGAGAAGUCACUGAUGAUUACUUGUCUCACUGGUAGUGAUGGAAGUCUAACAAACUAAGAACAGAGAACAUUUAUUUUGUAUCUUUCCAGCAGCUAUUUUGAAAUUUGCCACUCAGUUGUAUAUUAGUUAAGUGCUUCCCCAUGUCUUACUGUGGCUUCACAUGUGACUUUGCUCUAUAUGUCAUGUCAAAAAGGCUGCAAGAAACAAACCAUUGUCAACCACAAGUCAACUUUUCAUAAGUCAUUUUUGCAUGUUUCCAUUUAAUCUUAAAGUAUGUUGUUGUUGUUCUCAGUUGUAGUGCUCAGAAUAAUACAACAACAUGGUUUUCUAUGUAGAGAUAAAAGUAUAGGAAGUGUUGAUAAUGUACUUAAGCCAACUUAAAUGGAUUAGGAUUCAUAAUGCUGAACAUAUCUAUUUAUUUAUUUGCCUUCAAAGCAACAUCUGUCAUUUUACUUGCAACAGAUGUUGGUAUUAUGUAACAUUUUAGUGAAAGAGUAUUGUGUCUUUGGACGUCAUAUUUUAUAUAAGUCUAAUACAGGGAAAUUACAAAUGCAUGAGGUCUUAAUGAAAUAAAGUUUUAAAAAAUCUAAUAUGAAAGAGAAAAUUUCUGUACAUGUAAUGCUCUAUCUGGACCUCUUAGUGGGAUUAUUAGCAUACUUUGGUAUAUUCAGUCAUUUUACUGCUUUUCCUCAGACUCCCUGAGGUCACAUAGUACUUACAUUUUAUACUAUACAGCAAUGUGUUGUGUGUACUAAAGGUUUUCCCUUUUACUUACAA